AUGCUGAACCUGCAGUUUGAAGAAACCCGCCAAAAGCAGACGCCGCGGAGCUGUGAGGGAAAACUCAGAGAGCACGGAUUGGUUUAUUUAUUGUGAUAGUUCUGAUGAUCAUUUCAGCCUGUUGGUAAACUUAAACCAGCUGAGACACCAACACUUUGUUCAUUUGCUUACUUCUUGUCACAUUUUUAGUUCAAAAGGUUGUUUUCAGGUCCAGGUCUGAACCGGACUCGGUACUCGGGCAUUUGCUGGUAUCACUUCUGUCUUGUCUCUGGUGGUCAGAGAUGUCGGAGGACAUUUCAGAAAAAGAAUGGCGGAAGAAUCUCAACAACGUGCUGAAGAACUUGGACAUGUCCCAGUACACAGAGACACUGGAACAUCUGGAUAGAAUCCCUAAAAGUGUGAAAGACAAAAAGUCCAGAGAGGAGAUGCCCAAAACAAUCAUUGAGUACUAUGGAUUGGAAGGCUCUAUCCUUGAAAUUGAACGUAUAAUGGAUCUGAUUCCAAGGAGGGAUUCUGACGUGCAGGACCUGCUGUGUCCCUUUGUGGACAAAUUGAAGAAGAAACAAGAGGCAAAGAAGAAGACAGGGUCAAAGAGGAAACAUGGAAGUGAGUCAGAGAAGAGGAGAGAACCUGAACCUGGGUUCAAGUACAAGAAGAACAGGAUCAUCAGUGAUUCAGACUCGUCUGAUGAGGAUGAUGAACCUGAAGCUGAUCGACCACAGAGCUACAAACAGAAGGAGACAAAUAUUCCAUCUUGGAGAAAAUCCAUCCGUGAUCUGAAGGAAAGUGGCCACCUUGAACAAAAAGCUGUAGCUGGAAAAGUUGUGAAGAAAUCUGAUCUGCGCAGAUACGAAACCAAACAGACAGAGAAGUUCUUCUUCUACCUGGGAUUAGCUGAUGAGACAGGCAGCAUUAAAGUGAUGGUUUAUGGAAGUGAGCGCUAUCAGACCAUCAUGGAGAACCAUUUCUACAUGUUCACAAAUGUACUAUUGAAGGAUGGUGACGUAAUCAAAGUAACCAGACAGAGCGAAGUAUCUGAGGUGCCUGCCAUUGAUGUUCCAGAGCAGCAGCAGGUCGAUGCUCAGGUGCUCAUCUGUCAUCAGAGUCCACUCCUCUCCAUCUCAAAGGUCAAAAGUUUAAUGGAGAGGACGUUGGUCAGCGUUGAAGGAGCCAUCAAAGAGAUUGGUUGUGUUGAACAAGUCAAAGUGAAAAACAAAGGGUUGAAGAAAAAGAAGCAAGACUUCCAGCUCGCAGAGGACGAGGACUUCAUCAGGAUCAGCCUCUGGGGAAACCACAUCCAGCAGCUCAGGGGAAUAUCCGAUGGAGAUGUCAUCAAGGUUCUCAACGUGAACAUCAAUCGUUACUUUGACUCGGUGUCACUGAACUCUACUGACCACACCAGAAUUAUCAAGAGUGAACAAGCUCCAGCCAGGAAUGUGAACAUGAAGAUAAUCGGAAUCACAACUGCCAACAAGACAGAGACUCACCUGAAGGCAGAGAUCAUGGGCAAAGUGGAAACAUUUGUGGUGACGUCUACACUGCUGGCGAAGGCGUUUGGUGUAAAACUGCAGGGCAACUUUAAAGACAGACUGAUUAGAAUCAUGCCUCUUUCAGCAGCUGCAGAAAUAAGAGGGAGCAAAAUCAAUAAGAUUACAGCAGCAAAGGCUGAAAUGUAAGCGACAGAUGCAGUUUUUAAGUCGUCUUUAAAUGACCAAGGUUGGUGUUAACGCAAGCAGUUCUGCUGUCCUGAUUCCACAAUAUUUACCAUUUCUCUUAAAACUUCAUUGAUUUCAUUUUGUCUGUGUCAAACGUCUACUGCAUGUCUUGUUUCUCUGUCAAAUUAUAAUCAAGAUAGUAAAAAUGUAAAUUCUGAGUGUUAUCUGGAGUCAAGAGAAGCCAAUAAAUGGGAUCUGAUUUCUGGCUCGUGAUUAAACUUUUUUUAGCCAGUGGCUGCAGUUCAUCGAUUUGAUUCUUAAAAUGUUUAUCACACAUUAACUACAAUAAAGAGAAAGACUCAUCAAUA
Molecule: long non-coding RNA, 2023 nt
Organism: Echeneis naucrates (live sharksucker)
Lineage: Eukaryota; Metazoa; Chordata; Actinopteri; Carangiformes; Echeneidae
Source: Ensembl